GCCAGGUGCUGUGGUGCAUGCCUGUAAUCCCAGCGGCUUGGGAGGCUGAGGUAGGAGUAUUGUGAGUUCAAAGCCAGCCUCAGUAACUUGGUGAGGCCCUAAGCAACUCAGUGAUAUCCUGUCUCUA
RNAcentral lists this small RNA (127 nucleotides) under Marmota monax (woodchuck). Lineage: Eukaryota; Metazoa; Chordata; Mammalia; Rodentia; Sciuridae. The record is from RNAcentral.